This 410-nucleotide ribosomal RNA is filed under the name uncultured Agrococcus sp. Its description in RNAcentral is "bacterial SSU rRNA". It matches the Rfam family "Bacterial small subunit ribosomal RNA", at positions 226 to 648 of the family's 1533-position model. The record is from RNAcentral. Lineage: Bacteria; Bacillati; Actinomycetota; Actinomycetes; Micrococcales; Microbacteriaceae.
UAGAUUCGCGGCCUAUCAGCUUGUUGGUGAGGUAAUGGCUCACCAAGGCGACGACGGGUAGCCGGCCUGAGAGGGUGACCGGCCACACUGGGACUGAGACACGGCCCAGACUCCUACGGGAGGCAGCAGUGGGGAAUAUUGCACAAUGGGCGAAAGCCUGAUGCAGCGACGCCGCGUGAGGGAUGACGGCCUUCGGGUUGUAAACCUCUUUCAGUAGGGAAGAAGCGAAAGUGACGGUACCUGCAGAAGAAGCGCCGGCUAACUACGUGCCAGCAGCCGCGGUAAUACGUAGGGCGCAAGCGUUAUCCGGAAUUAUUGGGCGUAAAGAGCUCGUAGGCGGUUUGUCGCGUCUGCCGUGAAAGUCCGGGGCUCAACUCCGGAUCUGCGGUGGGUACGGGCAGACUAGAGUG